UAAGACCAAACGGCCGUAGAGAUGGAAUUGCAGCACUAAUCGGGGUUACAGGUGCCUGAUUUUAGUGGGGUUGAACCCAUACUGCAGCGACAAAUCAGAUUCCGGUCAAGGCUUGGGUUCUGGCAAGUACUUAGCGGUUUGAUUCCGGUGAUUGGUAUGUUGCAAAGAGGUUGAAUUAAAGAAAAAAUGAAGACAACGAGAGGCUGCAUCACAUUUGAUCACAUUUGGUUGGAGGAUACUUUCUUGAUUUAAGAUAAAUAAUUGGGUGUGCAUAUUCACACACCUUAAUCUCUUUUUUCACAUCCUUUAAGACGCCUUAUAUAGGCCUACACGGGAGCGUCUAGGUUCUUUAAGACGCCUAGUCUAUGCCUAGAUGAGAGUCUAGGGUUUUUGUCUUCGAUAAGCAUGGUUGUAAAAGUCCCGCCUAGGCUCCGAGUACUCCCUGAGUACUCGUUACAAGGUAGGCUGCCGAGGUACGAGUACUCUUCUCCCAGGCCAAUUACUCCCCGAGUAAUCUCCGCCUAAGCCGAGUACUUCCCGAGUACUCCCGAAUCCGACUAGGGAGCGCCUAGCGACUUUUGCAACCAUGCCGAUAAGACACUGAACCUUGUACAAGGUCAAAUCAAUCACAUCAGACGGGGCGUCUAGGUCUAGACGAGGGAGCAAUAUGAUAGAGGAAGACGCCUCGUCUAGGCCUGGACGGAGCAUCUUGAGGACUGAUUUGACUAUCUUCCAGGCAUUUGACUUAAAGUAAUAUGCUGCGUCUAGGGCUAUACGAGACAUAUAUAUUGGAAAUAAAUAGUGACAUGUAGAGCAUUCUUCAACCAU
This is a long non-coding RNA of Helianthus annuus (common sunflower), 828 nucleotides long. RefSeq lists it as uncharacterized. The transcript has 3 exons. The record is from RefSeq and is a predicted model, not a curated record. NCBI's taxonomy places the organism in Eukaryota, Viridiplantae, Streptophyta, Magnoliopsida, Asterales, Asteraceae.